ACGACCACAUUACGUUGAUAUAUCGGCUCCCGUACGAUCUCCGAAGUUAAGCAACGUCGAUCCUGGUCAAUAGCUAGAUGGAUGAACGCUUGGGAAUAACAUAUGCUGUAAG
RNAcentral lists this ribosomal RNA (112 nucleotides) under Acanthosepion pharaonis. The record is from RNAcentral. Lineage: Eukaryota; Metazoa; Mollusca; Cephalopoda; Sepiida; Sepiidae.